ACAUUAUGAUUUGGGAAUUGCAUAAUCUUAUUUUUGAACCAUUGCCUAACUUCAUACAAUGAUUCACCAUUAAGUUGGCAAAAGUUGGUGAUUUCAUCCCUUAAUUU
Molecule: non-coding RNA, 107 nt
Organism: Capsicum annuum
Lineage: Eukaryota; Viridiplantae; Streptophyta; Magnoliopsida; Solanales; Solanaceae
Source: Rfam